Molecule: long non-coding RNA, 1869 nt
Organism: Leopardus geoffroyi (Geoffroy's cat)
Lineage: Eukaryota; Metazoa; Chordata; Mammalia; Carnivora; Felidae
Exons: 2
Source: RefSeq, a predicted model, not a curated record
CUCUCUCCCCGCUUGCCUUGCUUCCCUUUCUCAGAGCCGCACCCAGGUCCCCCACCCCCCAUGGCCCCCUUACCCACACCUCCAAGGGGCCAAGCCCCCACCCCAUCCUGCCAACCACCCCCCUACAGCAGGAGAGCUUAGGGAGGCUGAAAGCUUGGACAGCCAAGAGAGGGGGUCCACAUCUCCAUGUGGCUCUCUCUGGAGACAGAAAGCUAGACGUGGACCCAUACAAACCCUACUUGCAAGACUGGAAACAGAUCCAGGCUCAGAACAAGGAGGGAGUGGGGUGGAAUGGACAAGCCAAGACCCGGAUGAAACCAAGCAAAGGAAAAAAGAAAGGGACAGGGGUGGAGCCCCAGGAUGGGGAAGAGGAAAGGAAGGAAACCAGAAGCAGAGACAACAUAAGCUGGACAAUCCCGGGGGUGGGCUGGAAGUGCACAUAUUGACUUCCAAGAAACGUUGCUAAAAUGACCUAGGGUCAGACUCUGUGGCCUGACAUCUCUCUACCAGCUCUCUACUUGGAGUUAGGGCCAAGUGCCUGCCCGCCACCCCUGGGGCUGCAUGCCUGCCAGGACAAUGGGCACUUCAGCCUUCACUUGCUCUGGGACUGCGAGGCCAGGGAUCCAGCAGUCCCUGAAGCUGCCGAGAGAGGAAAGCCAUUUGCACUUCCUCCACAUCUGUAUUUGGGUCCUACCCCGUGGCUGACAGACGCUCCCAGUCCUGGGUGGGUGACAGCUAUCUCCACCCAGCCAGUGCCAGCCAAAGGGAAGGAGUGAUCUCCCGACACCUCGGAGCAUCCCACAAUGGCAAACAGCACCUCGAAUCCGAAUCCGACUCCACACCCAGUAAGGACUGCCUCCAGCCUGCAGCCUCACACAGACUCGCCCUAUGGGCCCACCCACAGGCAAGGAGCUGCCCCCCGCUGAAGCUGCUUUCUGGCCCAGCCACCCGACCCCGACCCCGAGGCCCGUCUGUAACAGCACAUGCCCUAUUCCGGUAGCCAAAGUGCUAGCCCCAGGUGCAACAUAAAGGUGGCUAACUGGGCUUGGGGCAUCCAAGCAAGUCCCCAACCCCACAUACUGACUCCCUGGUUCUGGUCUGCAGAACAGCCGCAGUGCCACUCAGACCUGCAUUUCCGCUUCUGGAGCAUUCUGCUGCCACACCCAUACUCUCACCCACGGGAGGAAGCGACUGCCUUAUGGCUCCAUGUCCCUGCCUCUGAAGCAGCCUUGGGUUCUCUCCAAGGCCCCUCACCAGAGCCAGCAAUGGAAUCCUCUCACCCACAGCUGAGCUCCUGCUUCUGAGGCAGACUCUCUCCCUCAGGGUGUGCGGGCACCCUGGGAAUGCCACCUGUGGGACUCCAGGGCCUCAUCCACACCAAAGGCCACCAAGUCAUUUUGUGGAAGGACACAGGGGAGGGAGAGACGAAGUGGGAACACCACCUGCUCCUGCCCAGCACUGGGAGGGCCUUGGAUGUCCAGCGGACAGUAGCUGUCCAUGGGGACUCUGAGGCCAGGCCAGCAUCCAUGGUCCCCAGUAGUGACCCACCCACUUGAACAGUAACUUAGCCUUGGCUUCUCCUAACCCUGCAGGAACCCCCUCACCACCUCCUCCUCUCAAAGACUGCCUGAGCCCGCCCCCCACCCCCCAGGCAAGUCAAUCAUAUGCCACUCCCUCCUGACCCCAGCACCUUGCAGACCUGUGAGUUCAGGGUAGUGGGUACGUAUGGCUGUCUUCCCACCAAUCUGGGGCCCCUCAGAGGCCACACAGGUCUGCCUCCCCUCUGUGUCACCAGACUGAGACACAAGGCCUGGCACACUAGAAACCCCCCAGAAAUGUUGGCAGAAAGAAUAAAUGGAUGGAUUUGGG